CCUACGGGACGCAGCAGUGGGGGAUAUUGCACAAUGGGGGGAACCCUGAUGCAGCGACGCCGCGUGGGCGAUGGAGCGCCUCGGCGCGUAAAGCCCUAUCAGCAGGGAAGAAGAUGACGGUACCUGACUAAGAAGCCCCGGCUAACUACGUGCCAGCAGCCGCGGUAAUACGUAGGGGGCAAGCGUUAUCCGGAUUUACUGGGUGUAAAGGGAGCGUAGACGGCAGCGCAAGUCUGGAGUGAAAUGCCGGGGCUCAACCCCGGAACUGCUUUGGAAACUGUGCAGCUAGAGUGCGGGAGAGGUAA
RNAcentral lists this ribosomal RNA (305 nucleotides) under uncultured bacterium. RNAcentral's name for it is "bacterial SSU rRNA". It matches the Rfam family "Bacterial small subunit ribosomal RNA", at positions 338 to 660 of the family's 1533-position model. The record is from RNAcentral.